Candidatus Staskawiczbacteria bacterium is the source of this 71-nucleotide non-coding RNA. The record is from Rfam. Lineage: Bacteria; Candidatus Staskawicziibacteriota.
GGCCCGGUACUCAAGUAGCCAGAGAACGGUCUGCAAAACCGUGUACAUGGGUGCAAUUCCCAUCCGGGCCU